Molecule: long non-coding RNA, 1776 nt
Filed under: Capsicum annuum
Lineage: Eukaryota; Viridiplantae; Streptophyta; Magnoliopsida; Solanales; Solanaceae
Description: long non-coding RNA (CANN_LNC018121)
Source: RNAcentral
UGCAUUUCCCUCUUAGUUAUGAUAUUUGGACCGUAGAAAUGCAUUUUCCUCUUAGUUAUGAUAUUUGACCCAUAGAGAUUCAUUUUCCUCUUAGUUAUGAUAUUUGGUCCAUAGAGAUGAUUUUUCUCUUAGUUAUGAUUAUACAGAUGAUUUUCCUCUUGGUCAUGAUGUAUGACCUAUAGAUAUGAGAUGUCUAAUAGAGGUGAUAUGCUUAUUAAUAUUAUGCCUCCUAGAUGUGAGAUGCCUUCUAUAUAUGAGAUGAUUAUAGACAUGCUACGGCUUAUACAUAUGAUUAUUGAUAUGAGUUACAGAUAUGUAUAUGGGCCUAAGGCCAUGAUUAAUUAUGAUCUUGUGAUUAUUCUGGAUAUAUUAUUGAGAUAAGGGUUGUGUUAUGAUGAUGAUUGGAUAUUUGAGAAGUGUUUAUCAUUAUAAAGGAUGCAAUUACAGUUCAUGAGUAUGCAUAUAUCUAUUUGUAUGCACAUCUCACCGGUAUGGGACAGAGGAAGAUGUGGUAUGUUGCUUACGAUUUUUUUGAUUGAAUACUGGUGAUGGCAUGCAUAGAUUUGGUACAUUCAUGAUUAUUAUAUUGGAAACUUAUGUGAUUCUAGAUGAAAUAUGAUUUUAUGAUUGUUCUGCUUAAUGAAGGGUUAAGUUAUGUGGUUAUUAGUUGUCUUUUAGGAAACUAUAGCACUUGGUGGCUAGGAAUCAAACGUAUUAGUUAAUGAGUCUUGCUUAGUUGAAAUAUGGUAGCUAUUGAUGGUUGAUGCGUGGCUAAUAAUGAUGUUGGGUUUAGCAUAAAUGAUGAUUAGUGAUAUUGAUAACUAAGUUUGUAAUGUUGAUUAGUUAUCAAAUGAGGGGUUGUGUAUUAAUAAGGCCAGACAAUAAGUGAUGUUGGUAAUAAAGAGGUAUCUAGUUAAUAACGUAGAUUAUUUGCUAAAUGGUUGAUUAAUGAAUAGUUAAACAAGAAUUGGUAGGUUAACGAUGGUUACUUAAUGAAUGAUGUCGGUCAAUAAAAGAUGGUUAGGUGAUAAGUGGCUAUGUUUUGUCUAAUAAUAGUUAACAGGUAUAUGAUGAUUAGUUCAUAAUUUGGAAUAAUGGAUUCAUGGAGAUUAUGGUCUAGUAAUGAACCUUGGCUAGAUGUUAGACGUUUGUUAUUUAAUAAAUAAUGGUUAGUUUCUAUCCCCUGAAUAAGGUUAAUGUUUAGACAAAUAACUAGAGGUCACGUGAUGACGAACGAACUAGUGAUUUCUUUACAAAUAAUGUUGUUUAGCUAAUAACGAGUAGUUGGGAAGUAAUAUCGAGAUAGAUACUUUAUUGGGAUAUAAUUAUGUUUAUAAGUAUAUUAGUAUAUGUUAUUCCGUAAUGGUUAUUAUGAUGAUAUUGAUACCUAGAAAGGCCGGAGGAUACUAUUGUGAUGAUAUUGAUACCCAGUAAGGCCGGACGAUACUAUUGUGAUGAUAUUGAUACCCGACAAGGCCGGAGGAUACUAUUGUGAUGAUAUUAAUACCCGGCAGGGUCGAAAGAUAUUAUGAUUAUGCACAAAUACCUGGCAAGUUUGAAGGUUAAUUACAAUAAUGAUGGUUAUAAUGAUGACAGUUAUGAUAAGUUGUGAUAUUGAUUGUGUACAUUGCAUUCAUUUCUGCAUGCAGAUCGCCUAUCACCAGUAUGCACCUAUGUCUAUCAUCCAGUAGGGUGCGGUUGCAUGGAUAUAGGUGAAGAAUAUGCCUUGUGUUGUUAUGUGUUGAUUGAACCUUUCGAGUCUCGGGCUAUGGGGGU